Molecule: ribosomal RNA, 368 nt
Filed under: uncultured Allobosea sp.
Lineage: Bacteria; Pseudomonadati; Pseudomonadota; Alphaproteobacteria; Hyphomicrobiales; Alloboseaceae
Description: bacterial SSU rRNA
Rfam family: Bacterial small subunit ribosomal RNA
Source: RNAcentral
CCUACGGGAGGCAGCAGUGGGGAAUAUUGGACAAUGGGCGCAAGCCUGAUCCAGCCAUGCCGCGUGAGUGAUGAAGGCCUUAGGGUUGUAAAGCUCUUUUGUCCGGGAAGAUAAUGACUGUACCGGAAGAAUAAGCCCCGGCUAACUUCGUGCCAGCAGCCGCGGUAAUACGAAGGGGGCUAGCGUUGCUCGGAAUCACUGGGCGUAAAGGGCGCGUAGGCGGACUCUUAAGUCGGGGGUGAAAGCCCAGGGCUCAACCCUGGAAUUGCCUUCGAUACUGGGAGUCUUGAGUUCGGAAGAGGUUGGUGGAACUGCAAGUGUAGAGGUGAAAUUCGUAGAUAUAUCACNNGUGANUUCGCGGCCGNCUG